This 444-nucleotide ribosomal RNA is filed under the name uncultured bacterium. RNAcentral's name for it is "partial 16S ribosomal RNA". It matches the Rfam family "Bacterial small subunit ribosomal RNA", at positions 339 to 795 of the family's 1533-position model. The record is from RNAcentral.
CUACGGGGUGCUCCAGUGGGGAAUAUUGCACAAUGGGCGCAAGCCUGAUGCAGCAACGCCGCGUGAGGGACGAAGGCCUUCGGGUUGUAAACCUCUUUUAGCAGGGAAGAAGCGAAAGUGACGGUACCUGCAGAAAAAGCACCGGCUAACUACGUGCCAGCAGCCGCGGUAAUACGUAGGGUGCAAGCGUUGUCCGGAAUUAUUGGGCGUAAAGAGCUCGUAGGCGGUUUGUCACGUCUGCUGUGAAAUUUCGAGGCUCAACCUCGAACUUGCAGUGGGUACGGGCAGGCUAGAGUGCGGUAGGGGAGAUGGGAAUUCCUGGUGUAGCGGUGGAAUGCGCAGAUAUCAGGAGGAACACCAAUGGCGAAGGCACAUCUCUGGGCCGUAACUGACGCUGAGGAGCGAAAGCGUGGGGAGCGAACAGGAUUAGAUACCCUGGUAGUC